UACCUUCACAAUAUCAUGUAUGCAUAUAGAACUCCUCCUGAGUGUAAGCACGCACUUUGUACUCCCCCAUGAUAGGGUGAAGUCGGUGUACGAGUCACAAAUGAUCGGAGCCUACCACGGUGGAAGGCCAUGAAAGAGUGUUCAAAGCACUCUCACGCUUAUCAACUUAAUAAUGGUUUGGUUGAGGGUUUUAGGUCUCAUCAUAUAUAAGCAUGCAUUUUAAUCUUAUUAAAACAAUUUGGUCAUAUUACAACUAUUGGUCCAUGUGAUUGAUUUAGUUGUACAUGAUACUCCCACUAUGCUUGUAAAACGAUUUUUAAAGCAAGAGUAUAUGGUACUACUAACAUAAGGUUUGCAUUCAUUGAUGGACUAUAUAGUUGCCUUAGGGCCUUAGGAUGACUAUGAACCUUUGAUUCGAUCCAACACGAGCCUAGUGUUGAAUCUCGGUCUAGGGAUGGUGAUUGAUUUUAGUUACGCGUUUAAUCAUAUUAAGGCGUGUUUUUCUUAUUG
This 510-nucleotide long non-coding RNA is filed under the name Malus domestica (apple). RNAcentral's name for it is "long non-coding RNA (MDOM_LNC015338)". Lineage: Eukaryota; Viridiplantae; Streptophyta; Magnoliopsida; Rosales; Rosaceae. The record is from RNAcentral.